CAGCAGUAAACGAUGCCGACAAGCAGGACACGGGAGUGUUUGCUGGGAGAAAUCAUAGUUUUCGGGCUCUGGGGAUAGUACGCUCGCAAGGGUGAAACUUAAAGUGAAAUUGACGGAACUACACUACCAG
This 130-nucleotide ribosomal RNA is filed under the name Enterocytospora artemiae. Its description in RNAcentral is "partial small subunit ribosomal RNA". It matches the Rfam family "Microsporidia small subunit ribosomal RNA", at positions 680 to 807 of the family's 1311-position model. Lineage: Eukaryota; Fungi; Microsporidia. The record is from RNAcentral.